UCAAUGGGCGGGAGCCUGAACCAGCCAAGUAGCGUGAAGGACGACGGCCCUACGGGUUGUAAACUUCUUUUAUAAGGGAAUAAAGUUCGCCACGUGUGGUGUUUUGUAUGUACCUUAUGAAUAAGCAUCGGCUAAUUCCGUGCCAGCAGCCGCGGUAAUACGGAAGAUGCGAGCGUUAUCCGGAUUUAUUGGGUUUAAAGGGAGCGUAGGCGGGCUUUUAAGUCAGCGGUCAAAUGUCGUGGCUCAACCAUGUCAAGCCGUUGAAACUGUAAGCCUUGAGUCUGCACAGGGCACAUGGAAUUCGUGGUGUAGCGGUGAAAUGCUUAGAUAUCACGAAGAACUCCGAUCGCGAAGGCAUUGUGCCGGGGCAUAACUGACGCUGAGGCUCGAAAGUGCGGGUAUCAAACAGGAUUAGAUACCCUGGUAGUCCGCACGGUAAACGAUGAAUGCUCGCUAUGGGCGAUAUAUUGUCCGUGGCCAAGCGAAAGCGUUAAGCAUUCCACCUGGGGAGUACGCCGGCAACGGUGAAACUCAAAGGAAUUGACGGGGGCCCGCACAAGCGGAGGAACAUGUGGUUUAAUUCGAUGAUACGCGAGGAACCUUACCCGGGCUUGAAUUGCAGGUGCAUGAGUCAGAGACGGCUCUUUCCUUCGGGACUCCUGUGAAGGUGCUGCAUGGUUGUCGUCAGCUCGUGCCGUGAGGUGUCGGCUUAAGUGCCAUAACGAGCGCAACCCUUCUCCCCAGUUGCCAUCGGGUAAUGCCGGGCCCUCUGGGGACACUGCCAUCGUAAGAUGCGAGGAAGGUGGGGAUGACGUCAAAUCAGCACGGCCC
Molecule: ribosomal RNA, 831 nt
Filed under: human gut metagenome
Description: bacterial SSU rRNA
Rfam family: Bacterial small subunit ribosomal RNA
Source: RNAcentral